UUCCGGUUGAUCCUGCCGGAAAUUGGAUUCAACGCCGGGUUUCCGGUUGAUCCUGCCGGAGGUCAUUGCUAGUGGAGUCCGAUUUAGCCAUGCUAGUUGCACGAGUUCAGACUCGUAGCAGAUAGCUCAGUAACACGUGGCCAAACUACCCUACAGAGCGCGAUAACCUCGGGAAACUGAGGCUAAUAGCGCAUACGGCUCUCACGCUGGAACUGCGGAGAGCUCGAAACGCCCCGGCGCUGUAGGAUGUGGCUGCGGCCGAUUAGGUAGACGGUGGGGUAACGGCCCACCGUGCCAGUAGUCGGUACGGGUUGUGAGAGCAAGAGCCCGGAGACGGUAUCUGAGACAAGAUACCGGGCCCUACGGGGCGCAGCAGGCGCGAAACCUUUACACUGCACGCCAGUGCGAUAAGGGGACUCCAGGUGCGAGGGCAUAUAGUCCUCGCUUUUGUACACCGUAAGGUGGUGUACGAAUAAGUGCUGGGCAAGACCGGUGCCAGCCGCCGCGGUAAUACCGGCAGCACGAGUGAUGACCGCUAUUAUUGGGCCUAAAGCGUCCGUAGCUGGCCAGGCAAGUCCGUCGGGAAAUCUCCCCGCCCAACGGGGAGGCGUCCGGUGGAAACUGCUUGGCUUGGGACCGGAAGAUCCAGAGGGUACGUCCGGGGUAGGAGUGAAAUCCCGUAAUCCUGGACGGACCACCGGUGGCGAAAGCGCUCUGGAAAGACGGAUCCGACGGUGAGGGACGAAAGCUCGGGUCACGAACCGGAUUAGAUACCCGGGUAGUCCGAGCUGUAAACGAUGUCUGCUAGGUGUGCCACAGGCUACGAGCCUGUGGUGUGCCGCAGGGAAGCCGUGAAGCAGACCGCCUGGGAAGUACGUCCGCAAGGAUGAAACUUAAAGGAAUUGGCGGGGGAGCACUACAACCGGAGGAGCCUGCGGUUUAAUUGGAUUCAACGCCGGA
RNAcentral lists this ribosomal RNA (960 nucleotides) under uncultured archaeon. RNAcentral's name for it is "bacterial SSU rRNA". It matches the Rfam family "Archaeal small subunit ribosomal RNA", at positions 1 to 922 of the family's 1478-position model. The record is from RNAcentral.